This 77-nucleotide transfer RNA is filed under the name Betaproteobacteria bacterium. RNAcentral describes it as "tRNA-Met". It matches the Rfam family "tRNA". From Rfam's summary of the family: Transfer RNA (tRNA) molecules are approximately 80 nucleotides in length. Their secondary structure includes four short double-helical elements and three loops (D, anti-codon, and T loops). The record is from RNAcentral. Lineage: Bacteria; Pseudomonadati; Pseudomonadota; Betaproteobacteria.
GGGCCCGUAGCUCAGUCGGUCAGAGCAGACGACUCAUAAUCGUUUGGUCGCUGGUUCGAUCCCAGCCGGGCCCACCC